UUCAACUGCUUCAGUAACUACUGGUCAGGGAUACUGAUCUUGGUCUACGUGCAGCAGUAGAGGAACACUGGGAGAAUAGACUGUUAUUGGAAAGUGGCACAAAUGACACUGGUACAAGAGAUGUUGUUAUUUCUAGUUGAUUUUUCUUAAUUUUUGUAUUUUUGAAGAAUUUUGUGAUUUACUUUUAA
Long non-coding RNA from Amphimedon queenslandica, 188 nucleotides. RefSeq lists it as uncharacterized. The transcript has 2 exons. The record is from RefSeq and is a predicted model, not a curated record. Lineage: Eukaryota; Metazoa; Porifera; Demospongiae; Haplosclerida; Niphatidae.